AUAGAUUAUUGCAAUUAUUAAUCUUGAACGAGGAAUUCCUAGUAAACGCAGUUCAUCAAACUGCAUUGAUUACGUCCCUGCCCUUUGUACACACCGCCCGUCGCACCUACCGAUUGAAUGGUCCGGUGAAGCCUCGGGAUUGUGACCAGUGCCUUUACUGGUGUUGGUUGCGAGAACUUGUCUAAACCUUAUCAUUUAGAGGAAGGUGAAGUCGUAACAAGGUUUCCGUAGGUGAACCUGCGGAAGGAUCA
This 251-nucleotide ribosomal RNA is filed under the name Sellaphora capitata. Its description in RNAcentral is "partial 18S ribosomal RNA". It matches the Rfam family "Eukaryotic small subunit ribosomal RNA", at positions 1576 to 1828 of the family's 1831-position model. The record is from RNAcentral. Lineage: Eukaryota; Bacillariophyta; Bacillariophyceae; Sellaphorales; Sellaphoraceae.